AAUUUCAAUGUAACAAUAUUACAAGAGAUAAUUUAACCUUCCGUGCACUAGGUGGGGUGUGACACACGCCCAGUCCUCGACAGUUCAAAAUUAUUUAAAAACUAUAAAAGCGCAGUAGUACAUGUUCUGAGUAGCUGGAGAUGAGAUGUUGCCGCUUCAAUUGGCGCCAUUAUGUUAGUCCGAUGACUGCCGCCAAUCUAGUUACGAGCGUGUUAAGUUUAUGUGGGUAUCAUUAUUAAGAUUUCACUUUAUAGAAGAAUAUGUCUAAAUUGUGAAACAAAUGAGUUUGAGUCACAAAAUGAGAAUUUCAAGGAAGAAUCUGAAAAUGACUCCGAUCAUUUGAACAUCAAAAGUGAUAUAAAUAGGAAAUUUGAAGCUGAGUUACCUUGUGUAAAAAAUGUAACACGCCAAUAUAUAUGGAGCAUGCUGAUUUCUUUGUCAAGAAUGCCACAAUUUUGAUAACAAUGAUCUCAAUUAAAAUUAUUGUUUAAUACGUUUAUUUCUACUUUAGUUCUUAGUAAUUUGUUGAUUCCUAAAUUUAAAGAAUUGUGAUAAUUUACAUGUGCCAUUUAAAAUUAGUAUAUAGAAAAUAAAAAGUUGUUUUCUUAAUGUUAAAAAA
Molecule: long non-coding RNA, 619 nt
Organism: Melitaea cinxia (Glanville fritillary)
Lineage: Eukaryota; Metazoa; Arthropoda; Insecta; Lepidoptera; Nymphalidae
Exons: 2
Source: RefSeq, a predicted model, not a curated record